AUGGCACCAGCCGCUGCUCUGCCAGCUCUGCCAAGAGCCUCGCUUGCUCUGAGCCCCUGGAGCGCGCUGCUGCUGGCCUCGUUCCUGCUUACAAACGGACCUUGUUGGACCGGGACUAGGAGUGGAAGAAAUCUGCUUUGCAUCAGUUUCUCUGGGUUUGAUUUGCGCCCAGCCGGGAUGCUCGCCCAGCCGCUCCCGGUGAGCAGCCCUCUCCUGACAGCCCCACCAGCAGGUGAACAUCUGGAUGGGGCGCUGAACACUGCAGGAGACAACCACAAAGAGACAACACGCUUCAUUUUAACACAUCCAGGCCACGAGGAGUCUCCAGCACGCUCAAGGCUGGGAGGUUUUACAACCAGCAGCCAAGCUGUAGGGCACAGCCCGGUGCUGGUGCUGCCUGGACCCGCGGCUGGCACGCAGGCUGCGCAGGCACCGCGUAACGCCGUGUUCCUGUCAAGCCUACAAGCAAAUGUAACACGAAAGAGAAGGCCAUUUGCUUCCUAA
RNAcentral lists this long non-coding RNA (504 nucleotides) under Anas platyrhynchos platyrhynchos (common mallard). RNAcentral's name for it is "lncRNA (ENSAPLG00000026600.1)". The record is from RNAcentral. Lineage: Eukaryota; Metazoa; Chordata; Aves; Anseriformes; Anatidae.